ACGACUCUCGGCAACGGAUAUCUCGGCUCUCGCAUCGAUGAAGAACGUAGCGAAAUGCGAUACCUGGUGUGAAUUGCAGAAUCCCGCGAACCAUCGAGUCUUUGAACGCAAGUUGCGCCCGAGGCCACUCGGUCGAGGGCACGCCUGCCUGGGCGUCACAC
RNAcentral lists this ribosomal RNA (161 nucleotides) under Hordeum roshevitzii. RNAcentral's name for it is "5.8S ribosomal RNA". It matches the Rfam family "5.8S ribosomal RNA". From Rfam's summary of the family: 5.8S ribosomal RNA (5.8S rRNA) is a component of the large subunit of the eukaryotic ribosome. It is transcribed by RNA polymerase I as part of the 45S precursor that also contains 18S and 28S rRNA. The record is from RNAcentral. Lineage: Eukaryota; Viridiplantae; Streptophyta; Magnoliopsida; Poales; Poaceae.